Pangasianodon gigas (Mekong giant catfish) is the source of this 72-nucleotide non-coding RNA. Lineage: Eukaryota; Metazoa; Chordata; Actinopteri; Siluriformes; Pangasiidae. The record is from the annotation of a GenBank genome assembly.
GAGGUCCUUAUGAAGUUAAACUGUGUAAAUAAAAAUACAUAUAAAUACACUAUAUUACCAAAAGUAUUCGGU